Long non-coding RNA from Cucurbita maxima (winter squash), 131 nucleotides. RefSeq lists it as uncharacterized. The record is from RefSeq and is a predicted model, not a curated record. Lineage: Eukaryota; Viridiplantae; Streptophyta; Magnoliopsida; Cucurbitales; Cucurbitaceae. The transcript has 2 exons.
UAGAGUCUAAUACACUCUUUCUUGGCUAGUGUAGCAGACUCCAUGAGAGGUCAUUCGGAAGGGCUCCGUAUAGUUCGAUUUUGGGGCGUAACAUUGUGGUUGGUUGUUCCCUUUCCCUCGACUGACCGAGA